UACGGAGGAUCCAAGCGUUAUCCGGAAUUACUGGGCGUAAAGAGUUUCGUAGGUGGCAUUGUAAGUCGGUAGUGAAAGCGUGGGGCUCAACCCCAUAAACAUUAUCGAAACUGCAAGGCUAGAGGACGAGAGAGGUUAUUGGAAUUCCCAGUGUAGGAGUGAAAUCCGUAGAUAUUGGGAGGAACACCGAUGGCGUAGGCAGAUAACUGGCUCGUUCCUGACACUAAGGCACGAAAGCGUGGGGAGCAAACGGG
Molecule: ribosomal RNA, 254 nt
Filed under: uncultured bacterium
Lineage: Bacteria
Description: partial 16S ribosomal RNA
Rfam family: Bacterial small subunit ribosomal RNA
Source: RNAcentral